CCUAAUUUAAAAAAAAAACUGAUAUAAUCACCCAAAAAAAACAAAGGACUAAUAAUGCAAAUGGCCCAUUUUGAACCCAUUUUAAAACCCAAAACUCAUUCCCUUUGUCUGUCAUUUUUGAGUUUGCCGCAGCCCCCUUUCCACCAUUUCAGACCCAUCUCCGAUCAACUACAACGACCAUGACGGCACCACGACGGAGCGCUACCGCUAGAUGAACGUGCACGGCGCUAGGGGAAACGGCAGUUAUUGCGACGUGGGAGUGUGUACAGUGCUGGUCUGCUGCUUGCUGUUGGAGUUUGCUGUUUUUUUUGGGCUGUACAGUGUUAUUAGUUUGGGCCUUAUUGGGCCUCGUUUUUAAUUGGGUUAGGUUGUAAUUUUGGCUUUGGGUCAGUUUUAGUGAGUAUAGUUGGGCUCGGGCAAUAAUUGGGUAUUACAAAUGAUGUAUAACCUUAAACCUUAAACAUGUAACUAACUCUAUGGUAGAUUAUAAUAUAUAUACAUACAUAUAA
This is a long non-coding RNA of Gossypium raimondii (Peruvian cotton), 509 nucleotides long. RefSeq lists it as uncharacterized. NCBI's taxonomy places the organism in Eukaryota, Viridiplantae, Streptophyta, Magnoliopsida, Malvales, Malvaceae. The record is from RefSeq and is a predicted model, not a curated record. The transcript is spliced from 2 exons.